CAACAGCAUCCUGGAAGCCAAAGUGCUCUGGCCAAGGGCUGUUUACACUUGGCUGUGACAGCACUUGCUCUCCAGGGGCAGGAUCUCAACACCCUAAGCCAUAGGGCCCAAGCAGAGCCACACCUGCCAGACUGUCCCUCUGGGCCACAAUGAUUCGAUCACCUGGCAUGGACAGGGUGGUGGCGACAAGGAAAACAAGACUAAGAACAGAGCGCCUGCUCCAUUGUGUGAGAGUGGAGAAAGCCCAGAAUCUGUUGGUUGAUGGCUCAGCUUCAACACUUGUCUCUGUUGCCUUCCACCUGCAUUUUCUUCUGCGCGUCCCACAGUCUCUCUGAGCGUCCUCAAUUUCCAUAUCUGUAGAGAGGGGAAGUCCCAUGCCCAUGAGUCUUCAGCCAACAGCCACUGGGAGAAGGCUCACACCCAAGACUUUGUCCAUGCUUUGCAGGCCACCACUCCGCUCCAUCCGCGCCUGCAGGUCUGUGCUGCUCAGGUUUUUCUCACAGCCCGUCUCUCCCCAGGACUCUGGCACUGAGACCAGAUGGGGCUGGGCUCACUGAGAUAGCCAAGUGACAUCACCACACUGGAUCCAGCAUCAUCCUGCCCUGCCCACAAUAAAUGCUUUGG
Eptesicus fuscus (big brown bat) is the source of this 624-nucleotide long non-coding RNA. RefSeq lists it as uncharacterized. Lineage: Eukaryota; Metazoa; Chordata; Mammalia; Chiroptera; Vespertilionidae. The transcript has 3 exons. The record is from RefSeq and is a predicted model, not a curated record.